GUGUGCGUAAGGAAUGAAGUGAUCAGACUGGAUUAUCUCAGUCCGAUAGUACUCCGGUGCUGUGUAAUCUUCAUUCUUAAACACACACUCACACGAGAAUACACAAACUGCACGGAGAUAUCCUCUCAGGUGGAUGUGAACACUGUCUCUGCUCUCUGACACAACUGCUCCCACACACAGGUCUGACUGAAGAGAACAUACGACAGACAUGUCUAGCAAUGUGGACAGGCAGGCAGUCCUCCGCAACACAAAGGUUCGAACAGCACUGCGGAAAGAUGGCAGUUGGAUUCACAGGAGCUCUGAAGAACUCAGUGAUAACCAUGAACCCAGUGAGCCCCCAGUCCCAGUAAAGCUUGUGGGAUCCAGACUUUUCUCGACCGCUGCCGCACAAACCCCACCUAGCCCCGCCCCUCAGAACCAGGACACGCCCACCACUCCAGACACGCCCACCGCUCCAGAUAC
Electrophorus electricus (electric eel) is the source of this 462-nucleotide non-coding RNA. NCBI's taxonomy places the organism in Eukaryota, Metazoa, Chordata, Actinopteri, Gymnotiformes, Gymnotidae. The record is from RefSeq and is a predicted model, not a curated record.